UGGGGAAUUUUGGACAAUGGGCGCAAGCCUGAUCCAGCAAUGCCGCGUGCAGGAUGAAGGCCUUCGGGUUGUAAACUGCUUUUGCGGGGGAAGAAACCUUGAUAUUCUUAUCAAGCCGACGGUACCCCGAGAAUAAGCACCGGCUAGCUCCGUGCCAGCAGCCGCGGUAAUACGGAGGGUGCAAGCGUUAUCCGGAUUUACUGGGUUUAAAGGGUGUGUAGGCGGAUUAUUAAGUCAGCGGUGAAAUCUCCAGGCUCAACCUGGAAACUGCCAUUGAUACUGUCGGUCUUGAGUAAAUUAGAGGUAGCUGGAAUAAGUAGUGUAGCGGUGAAAUGCAUAGAUAUUACUUAGAACACCAAUUGCGAAGGCAGGUUACCAUGAUUUAACUGACGCUGAGGGACGAAAGCGUGGGGAGCGAACA
RNAcentral lists this ribosomal RNA (421 nucleotides) under uncultured bacterium. RNAcentral describes it as "bacterial SSU rRNA". It matches the Rfam family "Bacterial small subunit ribosomal RNA", at positions 355 to 774 of the family's 1533-position model. The record is from RNAcentral.